Molecule: Y RNA, 109 nt
Filed under: Microcebus murinus (gray mouse lemur)
Lineage: Eukaryota; Metazoa; Chordata; Mammalia; Primates; Cheirogaleidae
Description: Y RNA (ENSMICG00000046527.1)
Rfam family: Y RNA
About the family: Y RNAs are components of the Ro ribonucleoprotein particle (Ro RNP), in association with Ro60 and La proteins.
Source: Rfam by way of RNAcentral
GGUUGGUCCGAAGGUGGUGAGUUACCUCAUUUGAUUAUUCACAGUUACAGACUGAACCCCUUGUUCUACUUCUUUCCCCCUUCUCACUACUGUACUUGACUAGUCUUAA